Molecule: ribosomal RNA, 167 nt
Filed under: uncultured bacterium
Lineage: Bacteria
Description: partial 16S ribosomal RNA
Rfam family: Bacterial small subunit ribosomal RNA
Source: RNAcentral
CAUGGGCGCAGCCUGAUCCAGCCAUAGCCGCGUGGAGUGAUAGAAGGCCUUCGGGUUGUAAAGCCCUUUUGUUGGGAAAGAAAACGACCUGGCCAGUACCAAUAUUGUCCUGAUAGUUCCCUGCCAACAGCCACCGGUAAUACUUCGUGCCAGCAGCCGCGGUAAUA